This 253-nucleotide ribosomal RNA is filed under the name uncultured bacterium. Its description in RNAcentral is "partial 16S ribosomal RNA". It matches the Rfam family "Bacterial small subunit ribosomal RNA", at positions 524 to 776 of the family's 1533-position model. The record is from RNAcentral.
GACGAACUGUCCUAACGUUGUUCGGAAUCACUGGGCUUAAAGGGCGCGUAGGCGGGCUCACAAGUCAGGGGUGAAAUCCCACGGCUCAACCGUGGAAGUGCCUUUGAUACUGUGGGUCUUGAGGGAGGUAGGGGCGUGCGGAACUUCCGGUGUAGCGGUGAAAUGCGUAGAUAUCGGAAGGAACACCAGUGGCGAAAGCGGCUUCCUGGUCCAGCACCGACGUUCAGGCACGAAAGCGUGGGGAGCAAACAGG